AUUGAACGCUGGCGGCAUGCCUUACACAUGCAAGUCGAACGGCAGCGCGGGCUUCGGCCUGGCGGCGAGUGGCGAACGGGUGAGUAAUGCAUCGGAACGUGCCCAGUAGUGGGGGAUAGCCCGGCGAAAGCCGGAUUAAUACCGCAUACGACCUGAGGGUGAAAGCGGGGGACCGAAAGGCCUCGCGCUAUUGGAGCGGCCGAUGUCGGAUUAGCUAGUUGGUGGGGUAAAGGCUUACCAAGGCGACGAUCCGUAGCUGGUCUGAGAGGACGACCAGCCACACUGGGACUGAGACACGGCCCAGACUCCUACGGGAGGCAGCAGUGGGGAAUGUUGGACAAUGGGGGCAACCCUGAUCCAGCCAUGCCGCGUGCGGGAAGAAGGCCUUCGGGUUGUAAACCGCUUUUGUUCGGGAAGAAAUCCUCUGGGCUAAUACCCCGGGGGGAUGACGGUACCGGAAGAAUAAGCACCGGCUAACUACGUG
Molecule: ribosomal RNA, 484 nt
Filed under: uncultured bacterium
Lineage: Bacteria
Description: partial 16S ribosomal RNA
Rfam family: Bacterial small subunit ribosomal RNA
Source: RNAcentral